GACGAACGCUGGCGGCGUGCUUAAUACAUGCAAGUCGAACGGAAAGGCCCUGCCUUGCUUGUGUGCUCGAGUUGCGAACGGGUGAGUAACACGUGAGUAACCUGCCUGUUACCUUGGGAUAACUUUUGGAAACUGUGGCUAAUACCGCAUAGGAGCUCCUGCUGCAUGGUGUGUGCUGGAAAGUUUCGGCGGCUGGGGUUGGACGCGAGGCUUAUCAGCAUGUUGGUGUGGUUGUGGCAUAGAAUGGCCUUGGCGGGUAGCCGGACUGGGCGGGUGACCGGCCACAGUGGGCCUGGGAUACGGCCCAGACUGCUACGGGAGGCAGCAGUGGGAGAUAUUGCACAAUGGGCAGAAGCAUGAUGGAGCAACGCCGCGUGGGAGAUGACGGCCUUCAGGUUGUAAACCGCUUUCGCCUGUGAAGUAGCGUGAGUGACGGUAAUGGGUAAAGAAGCAACGGCUAACUACGUG
Molecule: ribosomal RNA, 468 nt
Filed under: uncultured bacterium
Lineage: Bacteria
Description: partial 16S ribosomal RNA
Rfam family: Bacterial small subunit ribosomal RNA
Source: RNAcentral